This 459-nucleotide ribosomal RNA is filed under the name uncultured bacterium. Its description in RNAcentral is "partial 16S ribosomal RNA". It matches the Rfam family "Bacterial small subunit ribosomal RNA", at positions 338 to 795 of the family's 1533-position model. The record is from RNAcentral.
CCUACGGGAGGCAGCAGUGAGGAAUAUUGGACAAUGGGCGCGAGCCUGAACCAGCGAAGUCGCGUGAGGGAAGACGGUCCUAUGGAUUGUAAACCUCUUUUGUCGGGGAGCAAAAGACGCCACGAGUGGCGUUCCGAGAGUACCCGAAGAAAAAGGAUCGGCCAACUGCGUGACAGCAGACGCGGUAAUAAGGAGGAGGCGUGCUUUAUCCGGAUUGAUUGGGUUAAGGGGGUGCUGAGGCGGAAGGUCAAGUGAGCGGUAAAAUUGAGGGGUUCAACCUCUUCGAGCAGUUGAAACUGGUUUUCUUGAGUGAGUGAGAAGUAUGCGGAAUGCGUGGUGUAGCGGUGAAAUGCAUAGAUAUCACGCAGAACUCCGAUUGCGAAGGCAGCAUACCGGCGCUCAACUGACGCUGAUGCACGAAAGUGUGGGUAUCGAACAGGAUUAGAUACCCUAGUAGUC